CUUUCCCCUGUCAUUGCGCCCAAAAAAGCAAGGCCUUCUGAGACUGGAUCUGAUGAUGACUGGGAAUAUUUACUAAAUUCAGACUACCACCAGAGUGUUGAGUCUCAUCUUUUGAACAGAUCUUUAUGUCUGAGUCCUUCAGAAGCUUCACAGAUGAAGGAUGAGGAUUUUUCACAGAAUCUCAGUCUGGAUUCUUCUACACUUCUCUUUACUCACAUACCUGCAAUUUUUUUUGUUCUUCACCUUGUGUAUGAGGAGCUUAAGUUGAAUACUCUAAUGGGAGAAGGAAUUUGUUCACUCGUUGAACUUCUCGUUCAGUUGGCAAGGGACUUAAAAUUGGGGCCUUAUGUAGAUCAUUACUAUAGAGACUACCCAACGCUUGUCAGAACUACUGGACAAGUGUGCACAAUUGAUCCAGGUCAAACAGGAUUUAUGCAUCAUCCAUCAUUUUUUACGUCUGAGCCACCAAGUAUUUAUCAGUGGGUGAGUUCUUGUCUGAAGGGCGAAGGAAUGCCGCCUUAUCCUUACCUCCCUGGAAUCUGUGAAAGAAGCAGACUUGUAGUCUUGAGUAUUGCACUGUACAUACUUGGUGAUGAGAGCUCGGUUUCUGAUGAAUCCUCACAGUAUUUAACCAGAAUAACUGUAGCCCCCCAGAAGUUGCAAGCAGAACAAGUGGAAAACAGGUUUAGUUUCAGGCAUUCUACGUCUGUUUCUAGUCUAGCUGAAAGAUUGGUUGGCUGGAUGACUAAUGUAGGAUUCACUUUAAGAGAUUUGGAAACUCUUCCCUUUGGAAUUGCUCUUCCCAUCAGAGAUGCAAUUUAUCACUGUCGUGAGCAGCCUGCCUCAGACUGGCCAGAAGCUGUCUGUCUCUUGAUUGGACGUCAGGAUCUUUCCAAGCAGGCCUGCGAAGGAAACUUACCCAAAGGGAAGUCUGUGCUCUCAUCAGAUGUUCCUUCAGGUACAGAAACUGAGGAGAAAGAUGAUGGCAUGAAUGACAUGAAUCACGAGGUCAUGUCAUUAAUAUGGAGUGAAGAUUUAAGGGUGCAGGAUGUGCGAAGGCUUCUUCAGAGUGCGCAUCCUGUCCGUGUCAACGUAGUGCAGUACCCAGAGCUCAGUGACCACGAGUUCAUCGAGGAAAAGGAAAACAGAUUACUCCAAUUGUGUCAGCAAACUAUGGCUCUUCCUGUAGGACGAGGAAUGUUUACCUUUUUUUCGUACCAUCCUGUUCCAACAGAGCCAUUGCCUAUUCCUAAAUUGAAUCUGACUGGGCGUGCCCCUCCUCGGAACACAACAGUAGACCUUAAUAGUGGAAACAUCGAUGUGCCUCCCAACAUGACAAGCUGGGCCAGCUUUCAUAAUGGUGUGGCUGCUGGCCUGAAGAUAGCUCCUGCCUCCCAGAUCGACUCAGCUUGGAUUGUUUACAAUAAGCCCAAGCAUGCUGAGUUAGCCAAUGAGUAUGCUGGCUUUCUCGUGGCUCUGGGUUUGAAUGGGUACCUUACCAAGCUGGCGACUUUCAAUAUCCAUGACUACUUGACCAAGGGCCAUGAAAUGACAAGCAUUGGACUGCUACUUGGUGUUUCUGCUGCAAAACUAGGCACCAUGGAUAUGUCUAUUACUCGGCUUCUUAGCAUUCGCAUUCCUGCUCUCUUACCCCCAACGUCCACAGAGCUGGAUGUUCCUCACAAUGUCCAAGUGGCUGCAGUGGUUGGCAUUGGCCUUGUAUAUCAAGGGACAGCUCACAGACAUACUGCAGAAGUCCUGUUGGCUGAGAUAGGACGGCCUCCUGGUCCUGAAAUGGAAUACUGCACUGACAGAGAGUCAUACUCCUUAGCUGCUGGCUUGGCCCUGGGCAUGGUCUGCUUGGGGCAUGGCAGCAAUUUGAUAGGUAUGUCUGAUCUCAAUGUGCCUGAGCAGCUCUAUCAGUACAUGGUUGGAGGACGUAGGCGCUUUCAAACAGGAAUGCAUAGGGAGAAACAUAAAUCACCAAGUUAUCAAAUCAAAGAAGGAGAUACCAUAAAUGUGGAUGUGACUUGUCCAGGUGCUACUCUAGCUUUGGCUAUGAUCUACUUAAAAACCAAUAACAGAUCUAUUGCAGAUUGGCUCCGAGCCCCUGACACCAUGUAUUUGUUGGACUUUGUGAAGCCAGAAUUUCUCUUGCUUAGGACACUUGCUCGAUGCCUGAUUUUGUGGGAUGAUAUUUUACCAAAUUCCAAGUGGGUUGACAGCAAUGUUCCUCAAAUUAUAAGAGAAAAUAGUAUCUCUCUCAGUGAAAUCGAAUUGCCGUGCUCAGAGGAUUUGAAUUUGGAAACUUUGUCCCAAGCACAUGUCUACAUAAUUGCAGGAGCCUGUUUGUCUCUGGGUUUUUGAUUUGCUGGCUCAGAAAACUUACCAGCAUUUAACUGUUUGCAUAAAUUUGCCAAAGAUUUUAUGACUUAUUUGUCUGCACCUAAUGCUUCUGUUACAGGUCCUCAUAACCUAGAAACUUGUCUGAGCGUGGUGCUGCUGUCUCUCCCCAUGGUCAUGGCUGGCUCAGGAAACCUAAAGGUUUUGCAGCUUUGUCGCUUCUUACACAUGAAAACGGGUGGUGAAAUGAACUAUGGUUUUCACUUAGCCCACCACAUGGCCCUUGGACUUCUAUUUUUGGGAGGAGGAAGUUACUCUUUGAGCACAUCAAAUUCUUCCAUUGCCGCUCUUCUCUGUGCCCUUUAUCCGCACUUCCCAGCUCACAGCACUGACAACCGGUAUCAUCUCCAGGCUCUCCGGCACCUCUAUGUGCUGGCCGCGGAGCCCAGGCUUCUAGUGCCUGUGGAUGUGGACACAAACACGCCCUGCUAUGCCCUCUUAGAAGUUACCUACAAGGGCACUCAGUGGUAUGAACAAACCAAAGAAGAAUUGAUGGCUCCUACCCUUCUUCCAGAACUCCAUCUUUUAAAGCAGAUUAAAGUAAAAGGCCCAAGAUACUGGGAACUGCUCAUAGAUUUAAGCAAAGGAACACAACACUUGAAGUCCAUCCUUUCCAAGGAUGGGGUUUUAUAUGUUAAACUCCGGGCGGGUCAGCUCUCCUACAAAGAAGAUCCAAUGGGAUGGCAAAGUUUGUUGGCUCAGACUGUUGCUAACAGGAACUCUGAAGCCCGGGCUUUCAAGCCAGAAACAAUCUCAGCAUUCACUUCUGAUCCAGCACUUCUGUCAUUUGCUGAAUAUUUCUGCAAGCCAACUGUGAACAUGGGUCAGAAACAGGAAAUUCUGGAUCUCUUUUCUUCAGUACUCUAUGAAUGUGUUACCCAGGAGACCUCAGAGAUGUUGCCUGCAUACAUAGCAAUGGAUCAGGCUAUAAGAAGACUUGGGAGAAGAGAAAUGUCUGAGACUUCUGAACUUUGGCAGAUAAAGUUGGUGUUAGAGUUUUUCAGCUCCCGAAGCCAUCAGGAGCGGCUGCAGAACCACCCUAAGCGGGGGCUCUUUAUGAACUCGGAAUUCCUCCCUGUUGUGAAGUGCACCAUUGAUAAUACCCUGGACCAGUGGCUACAAGUCGGGGGUGAUAUGUGUGUGCACGCCUACCUCAGCGGGCAGCCCUUGGAGGAAUCACAGCUGAGCAUGCUGGCCUGCUUCCUCGUCUACCACUCUGUGCCAGCUCCACAGCACCUGCCACCUAUAGGACUAGAAGGGAGCACAAGCUUUGCUGAACUGCUCUUCAAAUUUAAGCAGCUAAAAAUGCCAGUGCGAGCUUUGCUGAGAUUGGCUCCUUUGCUUCUUGGAAAUCCACAGCCAAUGGUGAUGUGACCGUGUCUGGCGGUGAACCUACCCUGAAACGUGACUUCUGCACAAAAAACGUGACCAAACAUCAAAGCUAAAGCAAUGUUUAUAAAGUUUUAUGGUAUAACUAGGGGGAAAUGAGCUGCACAAACCUCAAUGUAUUUUAAAUCUGUUGCUGUCAUCAUUAACGGUAUAUGACAUAUAAAAGCAAGUUAAAAUUUACUUUUGUAAAUAAAGUUUUUGGUUUGUUUCCAAAA
Homo sapiens (human) is the source of this 4007-nucleotide RNA transcript. It is a transcript of the gene named anaphase-promoting complex subunit 1-like, with no coding region annotated. The transcript has 31 exons. NCBI's taxonomy places the organism in Eukaryota, Metazoa, Chordata, Mammalia, Primates, Hominidae. The record is from RefSeq and is marked validated.